AAUCAUUAAAGGAUUGUAUUUCAAAUCUGAACUACACAAAAUGGAUCGAGAUGAUCCAAAAGAUCAACAACAAAACGAAAGAAAAUAGUAAAAUUGUAUCUAAUAAACCCUAAUUCUAAACAACCAUAGAAAUUCAAAUAACAGGAUUGACCCAUAAAACUAUUCUAACUCAUCAGAACUUCAAGAGCUAGUAAACUUUGUAACAGCCUUGGUGCCCUCAGAAACAGCAUGCUUAGCCAAUUCACCA
Molecule: unclassified non-coding RNA, 247 nt
Filed under: Hevea brasiliensis (rubber tree)
Lineage: Eukaryota; Viridiplantae; Streptophyta; Magnoliopsida; Malpighiales; Euphorbiaceae
Source: RNAcentral